CCAACUUUGCACUGGUCUCGAGUCCCAGGUGAAAAGUGCUAGCACUUGGACCCAAAAAAUCGAGACACACACUCUCCUGUUCACGUAAGAUCCAUCCCAAACAAAACUAAACCGAUCGGACGUAACACACGAAACGAAGAUAUAAAACGGUAUCGUGAAAGCUUUUCUAAAAAGUGUUCACGAGUAAAGACAAUAGAGGAUGUUUUUCAUCGGCUUCUGGUAACUUCUGAUCCAUACAUUCCGAGUAUCAGAAAACUUCUAACAAAAAAACUAAAGAGUUUGUCGAAGGAAGCAAUAGAGCUAUUACUCCCGCCUCAAAUUUCAAUGACCUCUGGUAACAACAUGGAAGUCGAUUCGGAUGUCGGUUCUGAAUCUGAAGAUUCCGAAAACGAUGAUUCCGAUGAUUAUUAGCUGUAGGAUCAAUACAAAUAUUUUUCAUUCCAUUUAUCAAUAUUUUGGAUCCAUUAUUCUUUCAAUUACAUGACAAGUAAAUUUGAUCGUAUUAAGAUCAUAGGUAAGAAUAAAUUUCUUUAAUUGAAGGAUCCUUGUUAUCAUCAUCAUCAUCAUCAUCAUCAUCAUCAUUAUUAUUAUUAUUAUAUAAUAUAAAAAUCAUGUUCUAAGUGGGUUAGUGUUGUAAAUAUUUGCUUCAAAUCCUUUACAUACUGUUUUAUCAAAAUUAGGAAAAAUUUUAAUGUCUCUCAUCGCCAUGUUAGAUCCGCCAUUUUGGUAGGAUAAUUUUUGACUUCAAAUCCGUAAUCAGCGACCUCGAAAACCCCCGCGUAGAGAUUUUAGUCGAAUUUAACGUAGUUUUGAGGUUUUGGCCACGAUUUGGGGAUUUGGUCGCACUGUGCACCGCGCGCCAGUGAGAAUCGAUUGUGUGCGUGCAAUAUAAUUCACGCGGGACCCGUAUGCGUGUAAGUGACCGACUGCAACGCACCAGGUAGUGGAGCGGACGGUCCGUGAUAGUCUAAGAGCCAGUGGGCGGCUACCUGCAUGUAUUUGACCAGACCUGGGUUUUUGUACAUUGAGGCCCCUAUACCUACCAUACAUGAGGUGGGGACCCACUAAGCCCAAAGCGGUGGACCCAGGUACUGCGCAGGUGAGACAGAUAAAAAUGACAACUUCUAUCGCGGCGUAAAGUUGACGAUUCCGCUCAAAGUUUCGAUUCCAAUAUGGGGAAUCUGGUCCAGUCGAAGUGGCAUUUAAGAAAAUCCACCGGAUGAAGAGCGAUCGAGAAAGACUGAAAACUCAAUCCUGCGUUCGCUAUGACAAGGGCAAAAUUUGCUUUAUUGUCGAAUCUAUUUAAUAAAUGUAUGUACACCAGUCG
This is a long non-coding RNA of Athalia rosae (coleseed sawfly), 1327 nucleotides long. RefSeq lists it as uncharacterized. Lineage: Eukaryota; Metazoa; Arthropoda; Insecta; Hymenoptera; Athaliidae. The transcript has 3 exons. The record is from RefSeq and is a predicted model, not a curated record.